GCCGUUUUGGCUCAGUGGGUAGAGCGUCAGCCUGCAGACUGAAGGGUCCUAGGUUUGAUUCCAGUUAAGGGCA
This is a non-coding RNA of Myotis lucifugus (little brown bat), 73 nucleotides long. NCBI's taxonomy places the organism in Eukaryota, Metazoa, Chordata, Mammalia, Chiroptera, Vespertilionidae. The record is from Rfam.